RNAcentral lists this non-coding RNA (63 nucleotides) under Chloroparvula japonica. The record is from RNAcentral. Lineage: Eukaryota; Viridiplantae; Chlorophyta; Chloropicophyceae; Chloropicales; Chloropicaceae.
AAGAAGAAAGGCAAGAAGAAAAAGAAAGGCAAAAAGAAGUAAUUUUUUUGUUUUUGUUUUUUU